UACGGGGGGAGCAAGCGUUGUUCGGAUUUACUGGGCGUAAAGGGCGCGUAGGCGGUCAGCACAAGUCAGUUGUGAAAUCUCCGGGCUUAACCCGGAAAGGUCAACUGAUACUGUGCGACUAGAGUGCGGAAGGGGCAACUGGAAUUCUCGGUGUAGCGGUGAAAUGCGUAGAUAUCGGAAGGAACGCCGGUGGCGAAAGCGACGUGCUGGACCUCUACUGACGCUGAGGCGCGAAAGCCAGGGGAGCAAACGGG
RNAcentral lists this ribosomal RNA (254 nucleotides) under uncultured bacterium. RNAcentral's name for it is "partial 16S ribosomal RNA". It matches the Rfam family "Bacterial small subunit ribosomal RNA", at positions 524 to 776 of the family's 1533-position model. The record is from RNAcentral.